GCCGGGGUAGCUCAGUUGGUAGAGCAACGCUCUUGUAAAGCGUGGGCCGCCGGUUCGAAUCCGGCCCCCGGCU
RNAcentral lists this transfer RNA (73 nucleotides) under Chloroflexota bacterium. Its description in RNAcentral is "Chloroflexi bacterium (soil metagenome) tRNA-Thr". It matches the Rfam family "tRNA". From Rfam's summary of the family: Transfer RNA (tRNA) molecules are approximately 80 nucleotides in length. The record is from RNAcentral. Lineage: Bacteria; Bacillati; Chloroflexota.